AUUGAACGCUGGCGGCAGGCCUAACACAUGCAAGUCGAACGGUAACAGGAAACAGCUUGCUGUUUCGCUGACGAGUGGCGGACGGGUGAGUAAUGUCUGGGAAACUGCCUGAUGGAGGGGGAUAACUACUGGAAACGGUAGCUAAUACCGCAUAACGUCGCAAGACCAAAGAGGGGGACCUUCGGGCCUCUUGCCAUCGGAUGUGCCCAGAUGGGAUUAGCUUGUUGGUGGGGUAACGGCUCACCAAGGCGACGAUCCCUAGCUGGUCUGCGAGGAUGACCAGCCACACUGGAACUGAGACACGGUCCAGACUCCCACGGGAGGCAGCAGUGGGGAAUAUUGCACAAUGGGCGCAAGCCUGAUGCAGCCAUGCCGCGUGUAUGAAGAAGGCCUUCGGGUUGUAAAGUACUUUCAGCGGGGAGGAAGGGAGUAAAGUUAAUACCUUUACUCAUUGACGUUACCCGCAGAAGAAGCACCGGCUAACUCCGUGCCAGCAGCCGCGGUAA
RNAcentral lists this ribosomal RNA (506 nucleotides) under uncultured bacterium. RNAcentral describes it as "partial 16S ribosomal RNA". It matches the Rfam family "Bacterial small subunit ribosomal RNA", at positions 30 to 523 of the family's 1533-position model. The record is from RNAcentral.